RNAcentral lists this unclassified non-coding RNA (364 nucleotides) under uncultured Cenococcum. Its description in RNAcentral is "sequence contains ITS2". The stretch from base 1 to 154 matches the Rfam family "5.8S ribosomal RNA". The record is from RNAcentral. Lineage: Eukaryota; Fungi; Ascomycota; Dothideomycetes; Gloniales; Gloniaceae.
AACUUUUGGCAACGGAUCUCUUGGUUCUGGCAUCGAUGAAGAACGCAGCGAAAUGCGAUAAGUAGUGUGAAUUGUAGAAUUCAGUGAAUCAUCGAAUCUUUGAACGCACAUUGCGCCCCUUGGUAUCCCGAGGGGCAUGCCUGUUCGAGCGUCAUUUCACCACUCAAGCCUGGCUUGGUGUUGGGCGACGUCCCCUUUGGGGACGCGUCUCGAAACGCUCGGCGGCGUGGCACCGGCUUUAAGCGUAGCAGAAUCUUUCGCUUUGAAAGUCGGGGCCCCGUCUGCCGGAAGACCUACUCGCAAGGUUGACCUCGGAUCAGGCAGGGAUACCCGCUGAACUUAAGCAUAUCAAUAAGCGGAGGCU